Non-coding RNA from Tricharina praecox, 90 nucleotides. The record is from the annotation of a RefSeq genome assembly. NCBI's taxonomy places the organism in Eukaryota, Fungi, Ascomycota, Pezizomycetes, Pezizales, Pyronemataceae.
GGGGAUCUGGUUUAGUGGUAUAACGUCUCAUUUGCAUUGGCAAAAUGUCAUAGUUUGAGAAGGUCUAGGGUUCGAUUCCCUAGUUCUCCA